This 94-nucleotide transfer RNA is filed under the name Ottowia sp. RNAcentral's name for it is "tRNA-Ser". It matches the Rfam family "tRNA". Rfam says of the family: Transfer RNA (tRNA) molecules are approximately 80 nucleotides in length. The record is from RNAcentral. Lineage: Bacteria; Pseudomonadati; Pseudomonadota; Betaproteobacteria; Burkholderiales; Comamonadaceae.
GGAGAGGUGGAUGAGCGGUUUANNAAGUCGCACGCCUGGAAAGCGUGUGUGGGUUAAUAGCCCACCGCGGGUUCGAAUCCCGCCCUCUCCGCCA